CCAAACUUGGUCAUUUAGAGGAAGUAAAAGUCGUAACAAGGUUUCCGUAGGUGAACCUGCGGAAGGAUCAUUACAAAUCAUUGGUUGUGGUGGUGGAGGAGCGUGAGGAGUGAGUGGUGGUGGGUGAGUGCGGGUAUCAAGCUCGUGUUCCCUUCCUCUCUCCCCUCUCUGUCCCUUUCCCCCAACACACAUUCACGCUUGUUGUGUUUGUCAGAGUUAUUUGGCUAAUGAAAAUGGACAACUUUUAACAAUGGAUCUCUUGGCUCUUGCAUCGAUGAAGAACGCAGC
This 288-nucleotide unclassified non-coding RNA is filed under the name uncultured fungus. RNAcentral describes it as "partial contains small subunit ribosomal RNA, internal transcribed spacer 1, and 5.8S ribosomal RNA". The stretch from base 1 to 73 matches the Rfam family "Eukaryotic small subunit ribosomal RNA", at positions 1759 to 1831 of the family's 1831-position model. The record is from RNAcentral. Lineage: Eukaryota; Fungi.